Molecule: ribosomal RNA, 253 nt
Filed under: uncultured bacterium
Lineage: Bacteria
Description: partial 16S ribosomal RNA
Rfam family: Bacterial small subunit ribosomal RNA
Source: RNAcentral
UACGAAGGGGGCUAGCGUUGCUCGGAAUCACUGGGCGUAAAGCGCACGUAGGCGGAUUCUUAAGUCAGGGGUGAAAUCCUGGAGCUCAACUCCAGAACUGCCUUUGAUACUGGGAAUCUCGAGUCCGGGAGAGGUGAGUGGAACUGCGAGCGUAGAGGUGAAAUUCGUAGAUAUUCGCAAGAACACCAGUGGCGAAGGCGGCGACCUGGGUCGAUACUGACGCUGGAGCGCGAAAGCGUGGGGAGCAAACAGG